UUACCGUAGGUGAACCUGCGGUAGGAUCAUUUCCACAAAAAAAUCAUACCAACCCACGUGUGAUCUCAUACUGUUAUUUACUCUUCAUAUGCUGCGCCGUCGUGUGCGCAUAUGGAGAGGCCUUGUUGAACUACCUUGUGAAAAGGUUGAUUGCUCUCGUUUUUGCAUCUACACAAAAAUGAUGUGACAACUUUUAACGGUGGAUCUCUUGGCUCGU
Molecule: unclassified non-coding RNA, 217 nt
Filed under: plant metagenome
Description: partial contains small subunit ribosomal RNA, internal transcribed spacer 1, and 5.8S ribosomal RNA
Source: RNAcentral